RNAcentral lists this long non-coding RNA (365 nucleotides) under Phoenix dactylifera (date palm). Its description in RNAcentral is "long non-coding RNA (PDAC_LNC013915)". The record is from RNAcentral. Lineage: Eukaryota; Viridiplantae; Streptophyta; Magnoliopsida; Arecales; Arecaceae.
CACUAGAUGUAUGUAAUCUCUAUAAGUCUAGCCCCUGUGUCUGUUUCUAGGAAUGAUUCUAGAAUCCGAUUCAAUAUAAAAUGUGGGUGGGCUCACGUAUUAGUCUUCUAUGUAUAUACAAUCAAUAUACAUACUCAUGAAAAGAAUAAAGAGUAGGUGAGUUGAUACGAUAGAAGGCAUGCAUAUUGAUGGCUAGUAUAGAAGACAUGCAUGUUGAUGCUAGUACUUACCUAGUUUUUGAUGGCUUUACGUUAUGGAAGAAACAAAUGUAUAUGUGAUAUUAGAUAUUUACUAGUUAUAUAGGACUGUUCCUAAUAUAUAUAUAUUAUUAUAUACCCUUACCCUAUAUAUAUAUAUAUUAUUGA